GAUGAACGCUAGCGGGAGGCCUAACACAUGCAAGCCGAGCGGUAGAGAUCUUUCGGGAUCUUGAGAGCGGCGUACGGGUGCGGAACACGUGUGCAACCUGCCUUUAUCAGGGGGAUAGCCUUUCGAAAGGAAGAUUAAUACCCCAUAAUAUUUAGAAUGGCAUCAUUUUAAAUUGAAAACUCCGGUGGAUAGAGAUGGGCACGCGCAAGAUUAGAUAGUUGGUGAGGUAACGGCUCACCAAGUCUGCGAUCUUUAGGGGGCCUGAGAGGGUGAUCCCCCACACUGGUACUGAGACACGGACCAGACUCCUACGGGAGGCAGCAGUGAGGAAUAUUGGACAAUGGGUGCGAGCCUGAUCCAGCCAUCCCGCGUGAAGGAUGACGGCCCUAUGGGUUGUAAACUUCUUUUGUACAGGGAUAAACCUAGAUACGUGUAUCUAGCUGAAGGUACUGUACGAAUAAGCACCGGCUAACUCCGUGCCAGCAGCCGCGGUAAUACGGAGGGUGCAAGCGUUAUCCGGAUUUAUUGGGUUUAAAGGGUCCGUAGGCGGAUCUGUAAGUCAGUGGUGAAAUCUCACAGCUUAACUGUGAAACUGCCAUUGAUACUGCAGGUCUUGAGUGUUGUUGAAGUAGCUGGAAUAAGUAGUGUAGCGGUGAAAUGCAUAGAUAUUACUUAGAACACCAAUUGCGAAGGCAGGUUACUAAGCAACAACUGACGCUGAUGGACGAAAGCGUGGGGAGCGAACAGGAUUAGAUACCCUGGUAGUCCACGCCGUAAACGAUGCUAACUCGUUUUUGGGAUGCAAGUUUCAGAGACUAAGCGAAAGUGAUAAGUUGGCCACCUGGGGAGUACGUUCGCAAGAAUGAAACUCAAAGGAAUUGACGGGGGCCCGCACAAGCGGUGGGUUAUGUGGUUUAAUUCGAUGAUACGCGAGGAACCUUACCAAGGCUUAAAUGGAAAUGACAGGUUUAGAAAUAGACUUUUCUUCGGACAUUUUUCAAGGUGCUGCAUGGUUGUCGUCAGCUCGUGCCGUGAGGUGUUAGGUUAAGUCCUGCAACGAGCGCAACCCCUGUCACUAGUUGCCAUCAUUCAGUUGGGGACUCUAGUGAGACUGCCUACGCAAGUAGAGAGGAAGGUGGGGAUGACGUCAAAUCAUCACGGCCCUUACGCCUUGGGCCACACACGUAAUACAAUGGCCGGUACAGAGGGCAGCUACACAGCGAUGUGAUGCAAAUCUCGAAAGCCGGUCUCAGUUCGGAUUGGAGUCUGCAACUCGACUCUAUGAAGCUGGAAUCGCUAGUAAUCGCGCAUCAGCCAUGGCGCGGUGAAUACGUUCCCGGGCCU
Molecule: ribosomal RNA, 1344 nt
Filed under: uncultured bacterium
Lineage: Bacteria
Description: bacterial SSU rRNA
Rfam family: Bacterial small subunit ribosomal RNA
Source: RNAcentral